This is a long non-coding RNA of Amphiprion ocellaris (clown anemonefish), 1242 nucleotides long. RefSeq lists it as uncharacterized. Lineage: Eukaryota; Metazoa; Chordata; Actinopteri; Pomacentridae. The record is from RefSeq and is a predicted model, not a curated record. The transcript has 3 exons.
GCUAAUGCGACUUUUGGUUGUUGUUGAUGGUGAGCCAAGAUGGACAGCGAGCGGGUGAUGUUUUGCCCGUUUUGUGGGGAACAUAUGAGCCGAUUGACGCGGUUUUGUUUUUCGUGUGGUCGGUCUUUAGAGUGUUUAAAUGGCGCAGAUCAGACUGACAGAGUAGAUAUGCUUCAGCAGUGUAUAAGAUAUUUCAAUGAAGGACACUCGUACGCUGUAAUCGUGGAUAUGAUGUCAUGUUUACACGGUUUUCAAAUCAGCUUGAGGUCUCUGAAAAGCACACUGAAUGAAGCUGGUUUAUAUCGCAGAAAGUAUUACUCCGCUACAAACGCCAUAAUGAGGGCCAUCCAACUGGAACUUCGUGGACCUGGACUGUUAUUUGGCUACCGCACGAUGUGCCAGGUGCUUAAACAAAAGCACAAUCUACGUGUAAAGAGGGAUCAUGUGAUGAAUUUGCUUCGGGAACUGAAUACUCGGGGACGUGAGAGGAGAUCACGCAGAAGGUUUGUCAGAAGAACUUACCACUCCAUGGGACCAAACUACAUGUGGCAUGCAGAUGGUUAUGACAAGCUUAAGCCAUUCGGGUUGGCUAUUUCAGGCUGUAUCGAUGGAUUUUCCCGUAAAGUAAUGUGGCUUGCAUGUGGACCGACAACUAAUGACCCAAGUGUGAUCGCUUACUAUUUUCUGUCAUGUGUGCGAAACCUUGGUGUCACUCCCAUGAGACUGAGGACUGACUGUGGCACUGAGAACGGGACCAUGGCCUGCAAUUCAGAGCACACUACGCCACUACCACAAUGACUACUUCUCUGGAGCAUCCAGCCACAUGUAUGGCUCAUCCACAAACAACCAGAGGAUUGAGUCCUGGUGGUCCAUCUUCAGAAAGGGAAGGUCUCAGUUCUGGAUGGACCUAUUUGCAGACCUUAGAGAUGCUGGAUACUUCAACGGGAGUCAUGAGCAUCAAUGUCUACUGAGAUAUUCUUUUGGUGAUAUUAUCCAGAAGGACUUGGAUGAGUGUGUGAGACUGUGGAACAGUCACAGGAUCCACCCCUCAAGAACAGCAUCAUGUCCAGGAGGUGUGCCCAAUGAGCUCUACUACUUACCAUACAGGUUUGGCUCCAGAGACUGAGGAUUUAAAGUUGAACGGGCUGAACUGGAUGCCUUUCCUGAGGCUCGCCUGUUAAGAGCUCCAUGUGGGGACACCAGCAUGCAGGAGUAUUUGGACUUGGCCAUGGAGAACAGUCA